CCCUUAGAUGUUCUGGGCCGCACGCGCGCUACACUGAUGCAUUCAACGAGCCUAUCCUUGACCGACAGGUCCGGGUAAUCUUUGAAUCUGCAUCGUGACGGGGAUAGAUUAUUGCAAUUAUUAAUCUUCAGCGAGGAAUGCCUAGUAGGCGCAAGUCAUCAGCUUGCGUCGAUUACGUCCCUGCCCUUUGUACACACCGCCCGUCGCUCCUACCGAUUGGGUGUGCUGGUGAAAUGUUCGGAUCGGCCGUUUGUCGCGGUUUCCGCGUCAUGUGGCUGAGAAGUUCAUUAAACCCUCCCACCUAGAGGAAGGAGAAGUCGUAACA
This 325-nucleotide ribosomal RNA is filed under the name uncultured eukaryote. Its description in RNAcentral is "partial 18S ribosomal RNA". It matches the Rfam family "Eukaryotic small subunit ribosomal RNA", at positions 1470 to 1796 of the family's 1831-position model. The record is from RNAcentral.